UUGUAAUAGUAGCGACAUGAGGUCCACCCACCACGGCAUCAUCGAAGAAGAAGAGGCAGUUGUGUUGGAGAACCAUGCCAGUAGUAACCAUACCAAUACCCAGUUGUCGUUCUCAUUACCACUGCCGUAAGCUAUUUCUGUUAACUCAAACUCACACCUCUUCUCCUCUUCCUCCCACUCCCACUACACCUCUCUUCGCUUCCGCCGUAGCCAAGAGAACCAUGCUCACCGCCAGCAGCAGUGGCGGUGGUGCUUUUACCACAAUCAAAGAGAGAGUUUCAUUCGAAAAGGAGAUCAAAAAGAGUAAAUUCAUCGCCAUUGCUGGUCCCAUCUCCGACGAACAAUCCGCCUUUUCCUUCCUUUCCCAGGUCCGAGAUCCGCGUGCUACUCACAAUUGUUGGGCUUACAAGGUUGGAGAUCAGUAUAGAUCAAAUGAUGAUGGUGAACCAUCUGGUACAGCUGGAAAGCCAAUACACUCUGCCAUUGCUUCUUCUGGUAUUGACAGAGUUAUGGUUGUUGUCAUCAGGUAUUUUGGAGGUAUCAAAUUAGGCACAGGGGGACUAGUCAGAGCUUAUGGAGGAGUUACCUCAGAAUGCUUGAGAAAUGCCCCAACUUGUUUAGUAAAAUCUAAGGUCCCUAUGGGGGUUGAGGUCCCAUUUGAUCUUAUAGGCCUUCUGUAUCAUCAGCUGCAAUCUUUUCAAGUUGAAGAUAUCAAGCAAGAUUAUGAAACAGGGAAAGAAGCACAGGUAUUUGAUGAUUUGAUCUAAGUGAGGCCUACUGUUUUCUAAACUUAAGCCACGGCCUUGGAAGAAGAAAGAGGGUUGCUGACAGUUGGGGUUUUCAGCAGUGAUGCCUAUGGUUAGGUUGCCAUUGGAAGCAGCUAUGGUGAUGGAAGUGUGGCCUUCCUAGAGAUGGGAAUGAAGACAAUGCUAAUAAUGGUUGAUAAUAUGCCUUGUCAGUUUAUCCGUUGGUGGAUACAAACUACUAAUGCUUGUAUGUUAGCUUAAAAGUAAGUAAAGUAAUGGUUAUUGCACACCAAAUGGUAAGAAGAUGGAGUUUUUUUGUUAGUAAUAGUAACAAGAACUAGAACUCCACAUAAGAAAUGUUAUGUGCAAGCUUGGAACGUACUUUCGAUAGUUAUAUCUUUUGUCUUUUCUUUUCUUCUCCAAUUUUUUUGGCAUUGACUGGAUAAUAAAGUAUAUGUGCAUAUUUUCUUUGCAGUUUAGUAUGAAUCCUAUGAUAAUUAACCAAUCCAUAAUUUUUAUUCAUAGUACAAUAACAAAAAUACAACAACUAAUCUGUAAAUGGUAUACAUAUCCAAGCCCCAAACCAAAAACUAGAUGAAAAUGACAUCCUCAAACUGAGGCAAAAAUAAAUAAUACAAACAGAACAAAAUCCAAAAACAUAAUUUAAAUCACUCAACUACAUGCAAGAUCAUAGAUAGAACAUAGAAGUGGCAAAUGAAACCCAAAUCCAUCCAUAGUAUCUAGUCAACUCUUCAAUUUGAUGGUGGAGGAGAGAGGAAUGGAAGAUUUGGAAUGGUGGGAAUUGAAGGCAUUGUCGUUGGAAUAGUGGGAAGAGGAGGAAGUGUUACCUUAGGAAUUGAGGGAACAUUAUUGGCUGGGUUUGUGGGAAGUGUAGGCAAAGGAUUAGAUGGCAGUGGAGCUACAUUGGGUUUUGGCAAAGUUGGAAGAGCUGGCAAAGGAUUUGAGGGCAAUGGAGCAAUGUUGGGCUUUGGCAAUGUUGGAAGAGUAGGCAAAGGGUUAGAAGGCAUGGGUGGCAUAUUUGGUUUAGGUAGUGGUGGGGCUGAGGGCAAUGGAGGCAAUAUGGGGUUGGGAAGAGCAGGAAUUUUGGGCAAUGCCGGGGGUGGUGCGGCCGGCGGUGUGUCUAAAAGGUGGCGAGUUGCCAAAAUUGGAUUGGUUGAGAGUGAUAAGGCUAUGAUUAUUGAUAGAAUAGAGAAAAUCUUGAGGAAACCCAUGUUUUGAUGACAAAAAAGACAAGUACUUGUGUUGGAUAUGUCAAUAAUGUAUUUAGUGGGGAGUCUUUUUUCGUUGU
RNA transcript from Cannabis sativa, 2055 nucleotides. RefSeq lists it as uncharacterized. The transcript is spliced from 8 exons. Lineage: Eukaryota; Viridiplantae; Streptophyta; Magnoliopsida; Rosales; Cannabaceae. The record is from RefSeq and is a predicted model, not a curated record.